CCUACGGGUGGCAGCAGUGAGGAAUAUUGGUCAAUGGACGAGAGUCUGAACCAGCCAAGUAGCGUGAAGGAUGACUGCCCUAUGGGUUGUAAACUUCUUUUAUAGAGGAAUAAAACGAGGCACGUGUGCCUUUUUGCGUGUACUUUAUGAAUACGGAUCGGCUAACUCCGUGCCAGCAGCCGCGGUAAUACGGAGGAUCCGAGCGUUAUCCGGAUUUAUUGGGUUUAAAGGGAGCGUAGAUGGGUUGUUAAGUCAGUUGUGAAAGUUUGCGGCUUAACCGUAAAAUUGCAAUUGAUACUGGCAGCCUUGAGUACAGUUGAGGUAGGCGGAAUUCGUGGUGUAGCGGUGAAAUGCUUAGAUAUCACGAAGAACUCCGAUGGCGAAGGCAGCCUACUAAACUGCAACUGACAUUGAUGCUCGAAAGUGUGGGUAUCAAACAGGAUUAGAUACCCGGGUAGUC
This 460-nucleotide ribosomal RNA is filed under the name uncultured bacterium. Its description in RNAcentral is "partial 16S ribosomal RNA". It matches the Rfam family "Bacterial small subunit ribosomal RNA", at positions 338 to 795 of the family's 1533-position model. The record is from RNAcentral.